Molecule: ribosomal RNA, 453 nt
Filed under: Salmonella enterica subsp. enterica
Lineage: Bacteria; Pseudomonadati; Pseudomonadota; Gammaproteobacteria; Enterobacterales; Enterobacteriaceae
Description: bacterial SSU rRNA
Rfam family: Bacterial small subunit ribosomal RNA
Source: RNAcentral
UGUAGAGGGGGGUAGAAUUCCAGGUGUAGCGGUGAAAUGCGUAGAGAUCUGGAGGAAUACCGGUGGCGAAGGCGGCCCCCUGGACAAAGACUGACGCUCAGGUGCGAAAGCGUGGGGAGCAAACAGGAUUAGAUACCCUGGUAGUCCACGCCGUAAACGAUGUCUACUUGGAGGUUGUGCCCUUGAGGCGUGGCUUCCGGAGCUAACGCGUUAAGUAGACCGCCUGGGGAGUACGGCCGCAAGGUUAAAACUCAAAUGAAUUGACGGGGGCCCGCACAAGCGGUGGAGCAUGUGGUUUAAUUCGAUGCAACGCGAAGAACCUUACCUGGUCUUGACAUCCACGGAAGUUUUCAGAGAUGAGAAUGUGCCUUCGGGAACCGUGAGACAGGUGCUGCAUGGCUGUCGUCAGCUCGUGUUGUGAAAUGUUGGGUUAAGUCCCGCAACGAGCGCAAC